CAGUAGCCACGGUAAUACGGAGGGUGCAAGCGUUAUCCGGAUUUAUUGGGUUUAAAGGGUGCGUAGGCGGCUAUUUAAGUCAGCGGUGAAAGACUCCGGCUCAACCGGAGCAGUGCCAUUGAUACUGGAUAGCUUGAGUGUUGGAGGGGUACAUGGAAUUGAUGGUGUAGCGGUGAAAUGCAUAGAUACCAUCAGGAACACCGAUAGCGAAGGCAUUGUACUGGCCAACAACUGACGCUGAGGCACGAAAGCAUGGGGAGCGAACAGGAUUAGAUACCCCAGUAGUCCCUGUCUCUUAUAC
This 301-nucleotide ribosomal RNA is filed under the name uncultured bacterium. Its description in RNAcentral is "partial 16S ribosomal RNA". It matches the Rfam family "Bacterial small subunit ribosomal RNA", at positions 509 to 807 of the family's 1533-position model. The record is from RNAcentral.